RNAcentral lists this ribosomal RNA (440 nucleotides) under uncultured bacterium. Its description in RNAcentral is "partial 16S ribosomal RNA". It matches the Rfam family "Bacterial small subunit ribosomal RNA", at positions 338 to 795 of the family's 1533-position model. The record is from RNAcentral.
CCUACGGGAGGCAGCAGGGGGGGAGAGGGCACAAGGGGGGGAACCCUGAUGCAGCGACGACGCGUGGGUGAAGAAGCGCCUCGGCGCGUAAAGCCCUGUCAGCAGGGAAGAAAAUGACGGUACCUGUCGAAUAAGCCACGGCUAACUACGUGCCAGCAGCCGCGGUAAUACGUAGGUGGAAAGCGUUGUCCGGAUUUACUGGGUGUAAAGGGCGUGUAGCCGGGCUGACAAGUCAGAUGUGAACUCCGGGGGCUCAACCCCCGAACUGCAUUUGAAACUGUUGGUCUUGAGUAUCGGAGAGGCAGGCGGAAUUCCUAGUGUAGCGGUGAAAUGCGUAGAUAUUAGGAGGAACACCAGUGGCGAAGGCGGCCUGCUGGACGACAACUGACGGUGAGGCGCGAAAGCGUGGGGAGCAAACAGGAUUAGAUACCCCUGUAGUC